Molecule: long non-coding RNA, 528 nt
Organism: Haliotis rubra (blacklip abalone)
Lineage: Eukaryota; Metazoa; Mollusca; Gastropoda; Lepetellida; Haliotidae
Exons: 2
Source: RefSeq, a predicted model, not a curated record
ACCACAGGUCAGUUGAAUCUUUUAUAUCGAUUAAUCAGUGUGUAUACCUUUAAAUGUUAUAUUGUUAAUGCUUAUGUGUAAAUAUAAACUGUAACUUGUGUGUAAGUGUACAAGUUAGGUUUAGCUUGUUAGGGUCACUAAGCUAAAUUGCAAUCCAAUAAUCUUUUAGUAUCCAAAUAAAUGAUUCAGUUCAUUAAAGUGUUUUCUCUCUCCUAUGAGUGAAUGGUUACAUAUUUGCACGUUUGACUGAUUGAUUUUAUAAAUGAGAGAAAGUAUAGUGUGUAUGUGAAUGUAAAUAUGACUGCGAUAUAAGUUUGAACCGCUUAUAUUAUAUCCUAGGUUUUUGAAAUGGUAGAAUAUAUAUAUAUAUAUUUAGUUUAAGCUAUUGCAGCUUUAACGUUGAUCAUUGUUUAUACAGAUUGUACGUACGCUUGACUGGCUUGGCGGCUUGACAGGGCCGUAAUCUGCACCCUAGUGCCAUACACCGGGGUGUUGUUAAUAUUGGAAUAAAAGGUCUCACCCCCGUAA